AGUGAACGCUGGCGGUAGGCCUAACACAUGCAAGUCGAACGGCAGCACAGUAAGAGCUUGCUCUUACGGGUGGCGAGUGGCGGACGGGUGAGGAAUACAUCGGAAUCUACUUUUUCGUGGGGGAUAACGUAGGGAAACUUACGCUAAUACCGCAUACGACCUACGGGUGAAAGCAGGGGAUCUUCGGACCUUGCGCGAUUGAAUGAGCCGAUGGCGGAUUAGCUAGUUGGCGGGGUAAAGGCCCACCAAGGCGACGAUCCGUAGCUGGUCUGAGAGGAUGAUCGGCCAAACUGGAACUGAGCAACGGUCCAGCCUCUUACGGGAGGAAGCAGUGGGGAAUUUUGGAAAAUGGGCGCAAGCCUGAUCCAGCCAUACCGGGGGGGUGAAGAAGGCCUUCGGGUUGUAAAGCCCUUUUGUUGGGAAAGAAAAGCAGCAGGUUAAUACCCCGCUGUUCUGACGGUACCCAAAGAAUAGGCACCGGCUAACUUCGU
Molecule: ribosomal RNA, 491 nt
Filed under: uncultured bacterium
Lineage: Bacteria
Description: partial 16S ribosomal RNA
Rfam family: Bacterial small subunit ribosomal RNA
Source: RNAcentral